Molecule: non-coding RNA, 58 nt
Organism: Habropoda laboriosa
Lineage: Eukaryota; Metazoa; Arthropoda; Insecta; Hymenoptera; Apidae
Source: Rfam
UGGCGUAGCGCGCAGAGCCUCGGCUUGGUGAGCCGAAGGUCCCGGGUUCGAUUCCCGG